This 763-nucleotide ribosomal RNA is filed under the name fungal sp. RNAcentral's name for it is "eukaryotic LSU rRNA". The stretch from base 520 to 763 matches the Rfam family "Eukaryotic large subunit ribosomal RNA", at positions 1 to 246 of the family's 3401-position model. The record is from RNAcentral. Lineage: Eukaryota; Fungi.
UACCGAGUUUACAACUCCCGAACCCAAUGUGAACCAUACCAAACUGUUGCCUCGGCGGGGUCACGCCCCGGGUGCGUCGCAGCCCCGGAACCAGGCGCCCGCCGGAGGGACCAACCAAACUCUUUCUGUAGUCCCCUCGCGGACGUUAUUUCUUACAGCUCUGAGCAAAAAUUCAAAAUGAAUCAAAACUUUCAACAACGGAUCUCUUGGUUCUGGCAUCGAUGAAGAACGCAGCGAAAUGCGAUAAGUAAUGUGAAUUGCAGAAUUCAGUGAAUCAUCGAAUCUUUGAACGCACAUUGCGCCCGCCAGUAUUCUGGCGGGCAUGCCUGUCCGAGCGUCAUUUCAACCCUCGAACCCCUCCGGGGGUCCGGCGUUGGGGAUCGGGAACCCCUAAGACGGGAUCCCGGCCCCGAAAUACAGUGGCGGUCUCGCCGCAGCCUCUCAUGCGCAGUAGUUUGCACAACUCGCACCGGGAGCGCGGCGCGUCCACGUCCGUAAAACACCCAACUUCUGAAAUGUUGACCUCGGAUCAGGUAGGAAUACCCGCUGAACUUAAGCAUAUCAAUAAGCGGAGGAAAAGAAACCAACAGGGAUUGCCCCAGUAACGGCGAGUGAAGCGGCAACAGCUCAAAUUUGAAAUCUGGCCCCUAGGGUCCGAGUUGUAAUUUGUAGAGGAUGCUUUUGGUGAGGUGCCGCCCGAGUUCCCUGGAACGGGACGCCGCAGAGGGUGAGAGCCCCGUCUGGCUGGGCCACCGAGCCUCUG